CCUACGGGCGACAGCAGUCGAGAAUCAUUCACAAUGGGGGAAACCCUGAUGGUGCGACGCCGCGUGGGGGAAUGAAGGUCUUCGGAUUGUAAACCCCUGUCAUGUGGGAGCAAAUUAAAAAGAUAGUACCACAAGAGGAAGAGACGGCUAACUCUGUGCCAGCUGCCGCGGUAAUACAGAGGUCUCAAGCGUUGUUCGGAAUCACUGGGCGUAAAGUGUGCGUAGGCUGUUUCGUAAGUCGUGUGUGAAAGGCGCGGGCUCAACCCGCGGACGGCACAUGAUACUGCGAGACUAGAGUAAUGGAGGGGGAACCGGAAUUCUCGGUGUAGCAGUGAAAUGCGUAGAUAUCGAGAGGAACACUCGUGGCGAAGGCGGGUUCCUGGACAUUAACUGACGCUGAGGCACGAAGGCCAGGGGAGCGAAAGGGAUUAGAUACCCGAGUAGUC
RNAcentral lists this ribosomal RNA (446 nucleotides) under uncultured bacterium. RNAcentral's name for it is "partial 16S ribosomal RNA". It matches the Rfam family "Bacterial small subunit ribosomal RNA", at positions 338 to 795 of the family's 1533-position model. The record is from RNAcentral.